RNAcentral lists this ribosomal RNA (468 nucleotides) under uncultured bacterium. Its description in RNAcentral is "partial 16S ribosomal RNA". It matches the Rfam family "Bacterial small subunit ribosomal RNA", at positions 28 to 507 of the family's 1533-position model. The record is from RNAcentral.
GACGAACGCUGGCGGCGUGCUUAACACAUGCAAGUCGAACGGAAAGGCCCUGCUUUCGUCUGGUUCUCGAGUGGCGAACGGGUGUGUAACACGUGAGUCACCUGCCCUUGACUUUGUGACAACUUCAGGAAACUGGGGCUAAUACCGGAUAGGAGCUCCUGCUGCAUGGUGGUGGUUGGAAAGUUUCGGCGGUUGGGGCUGGACGGUCGGCUUACGAGCUUGUUGGUGGGGUAGUUGCUUACCAAGGCUUCGACGGAUAGCCGGCCUGAGAGGGUGACCGGCGACAUUGGGACUAAGGUACGGCCCAGACUCCAACGGGAGGCAGCAGGGGGGAAUAUGGCACAAUGGGCGGAAGCCUGAGGAAGAAGCGCCGGGUGCGGGAUGACGGCCUUGGGGGUGUAAACCGCUUUAGGCUGUGACGAAGCGGGAGUGACGGUAAUGGGUAAAGAAGCACCGGCUAACUACGUG